RNAcentral lists this ribosomal RNA (629 nucleotides) under Escherichia coli. RNAcentral describes it as "partial 23S ribosomal RNA". It matches the Rfam family "Bacterial large subunit ribosomal RNA", at positions 556 to 1185 of the family's 2925-position model. The record is from RNAcentral. Lineage: Bacteria; Pseudomonadati; Pseudomonadota; Gammaproteobacteria; Enterobacterales; Enterobacteriaceae.
CCGUGUACGUACAAGCAGUGGGAGCCUCUUUUAUGGGGUGACUGCGUACCUUUUGUAUAAUGGGUCAGCGACUUAUAUUCUGUAGCAAGGUUAACCGAAUAGGGGAGCCGAAGGGAAACCGAGUCUUAACUGGGCGUUAAGUUGCAGGGUAUAGACCCGAAACCCGGUGAUCUAGCCAUGGGCAGGUUGAAGGUUGGGUAACACUAACUGGAGGACCGAACCGACUAAUGUUGAAAAAUUAGCGGAUGACUUGUGGCUGGGGGUGAAAGGCCAAUCAAACCGGGAGAUAGCUGGUUCUCCCCGAAAGCUAUUUAGGUAGCGCCUCGUGAAUUCAUCUCCGGGGGUAGAGCACUGUUUCGGCAAGGGGGUCAUCCCGACUUACCAACCCGAUGCAAACUGCGAAUACCGGAGAAUGUUAUCACGGGAGACACACGGCGGGUGCUAACGUCCGUCGUGAAGAGGGAAACAACCCAGACCGCCAGCUAAGGUCCCAAAGUCAUGGUUAAGUGGGAAACGAUGUGGGAAGGCCCAGACAGCCAGGAUGUUGGCUUAGAAGCAGCCAUCAUUUAAAGAAAGCGUAAUAGCUCACUGGUCGAGUCGGCCUGCGCGGAAGAUGUAACGGGGCUAAA